AGAGUUUGAUCAUGGCUCAGAUUGAACGCUGGCGGCAUGCUUUACACAUGCAAGUCGAGCGGCAGCGCGGGGGCAACCCUGGCGGCGAGCGGCGAACGGGUGAGUAAUGCAUCGGAACGUGUCCCGUAGUGGGGGAUAACCCGGCGAAAGCCGGACUAAUACCGCAUAUGCUCUACGGAGGAAAGCGGGGGAUUCGCAAGAACCUCGCGCUAUGGGAGCGGCCGAUGUCCGAUUAGCUUGUUGGUGGGGUAAUGGCUUACCAAGGCGACGAUCGGUAGCUGGUCUGAGAGGAUGAUCAGCCACACUGGGACUGAGACACGGCCCAGACUCCUACGGGAGGCAGCAGUGGGGAAUUUUGGACAAUGGGGGCAACCCUGAUCCAGCCAUGCCGCGUGCGGGAAGAAGGCCUUCGGGUUGUAAACCGCUUUUGUCCGGAAAGAAAAGGUACCUCCUAAUACGGGGUGCUCUUGACGGUACCGGAAGAAUAAGCACCGGCUAACUACGUGCCAGCAGCCGCGGUAAUACGUAGGGUGCGAGCGUUAAUCGGAAUUACUGGGCGUAAAGCGUGCGCAGGCGGUUCGCAAAGUCUGAUGUGAAAGCCCCGGGCUCAACCUGGGAACUGCAUUGGAAACUAACGAGCUUGAGUGUGGCAGAGGGGGGUGGAAUUCCACGUGUAGCAGUGAAAUGCGUAGAGAUGUGGAGGAACACCGAUGGCGAAGGCAGCCCCCUGGGCUAACACUGACGCUCAGGCACGAAAGCGUGGGGAGCAAACAGGAUUAGAUACCCUAGUAGUCC
Molecule: ribosomal RNA, 795 nt
Filed under: uncultured bacterium
Lineage: Bacteria
Description: bacterial SSU rRNA
Rfam family: Bacterial small subunit ribosomal RNA
Source: RNAcentral